GGUUAAGCGACUAAGCGUACACGGUGGAUGCCCUGGCAGUCAGAGGCGAUGAAGGACGUGCUAAUCUGCGAAAAGCGCCGGCGAGGUGAUAUGAACCCUUGACCCGGCGAUGUCCGAAUGGGGAAACCCAGUGUGUUUCGACACACUAUCGUUAACUGAAUACAUAGGUUAACGAGGCGAACCGGGGGAACUGAAACAUCUAAGUACCCCGAGGAAAAGAAAUCAACCGAGAUUCCCCCAGUAGCGGCGAGCGAACGGGGAGCAGCCCGGAGUCUGAAUCAGCUUGUGUGUUAGUGGAACGGUCUGGAAAGUCCGACGGUACAGGGUGAUAGUCCCGUACACGAAAAUGCACAGGUUGUGAACUCGAAGAGUAGGGCGGGACACGUGGUAUCCUGUCUGAAUAUGGGGGGACCAUCCUCCAAGGCUAAAUACUCCUGACUGACCGAUAGUGAACCAGUACCGUGAGGGAAAGGCGAAAAGAACCCCGGCGAGGGGAGUGAAAAAGAACCUGAAACCGUGUACGUACAAGCAGUGGGAGCACCUUCGGGUGUGACUGCGUACCUUUUGUAUAAUGGGUCAGCGACUUAUAUUCUGUAGCAAGGUUAACCGUAUAGGGGAGCCGAAGGGAAACCGAGUCUUAACUGGGCGUUAAGUUGCAGGGUAUAGACCCGAAACCCGGUGAUCUAGCCAUGGGCAGGUUGAAGGUUGGGUAACACUAACUGGAGGACCGAACCGACUAAUGUUGAAAAAUUAGCGGAUGACCUGUGGCUGGGGGUGAAAGGCCAAUCAAACCGGGAGAUAGCUGGUUCUCCCCGAAAGCUAUUUAGGUAGCGCCUCGUGAACUCAUCUUCGGGGGUAGAGCACUGUUUCGGCUAGGGGGCCAUCCCGGCUUACCAACCCGAUGCAAACUACGAAUACCGAAGAAUGUUAUCACGGGAGACACACGGCGGGUGCUAACGUCCGUCGUGAAGAGGGAAACAACCCAGACCGCCAGCUAAGGUCCCAAAGUCAUGGUUAAGUGGGAAACGAUGUGGGAAGGCACAGACAGCCAGGAUGUUGGCUUAGAAGCAGCCAUCAUUUAAAGAAAGCGUAAUAGCUCACUGGUCGAGUCGGCCUGCGCGGAAGAUGUAACGGGGCUAAACCAUGCACCGAAGCUGCGGCAGCGACGCUUAUGCGUUGUUGGGUAGGGGAGCGUUCUGUAAGCCGUUGAAGGUGUGCUGUGAGGCAUGCUGGAGGUAUCAGAAGUGCGAAUGCUGACAUAAGUAACGAUAAAGCGGGUGAAAAGCCCGCUCGCCGGAAGACCAAGGGUUCCUGUCCAACGUUAAUCGGGGCAGGGUGAGUCGACCCCUAAGGCGAGGCCGAAAGGCGUAGUCGAUGGGAAACAGGUUAAUAUUCCUGUACUUGGUGUUACUGCGAAGGGGGGACGGAGAAGGCUAUGUCAGCCGGGCGACGGUUGUCCCGGUUUAAGCAUGUAGGCGGAGGUUCCAGGUAAAUCCGGUACCUUAUUAACGCUGAGGUGUGAUGACGAGGCACUACGGUGCUGAAGUGAUAAAUGCCCUGCUUCCAGGAAAAGCCUCUAAGCAUCAGGUAACACGAAAUCGUACCCCAAACCGACACAGGUGGUCAGGUAGAGAAUACCAAGGCGCUUGAGAGAACUCGGGUGAAGGAACUAGGCAAAAUGGUGCCGUAACUUCGGGAGAAGGCACGCUGAUAUGUAGGUGAAGCCCCUGCGGGCGGAGCUGAAAUCAGUCGAAGAUACCAGCUGGCUGCAACUGUUUAUUAAAAACACAGCACUGUGCAAACACGAAAGUGGACGUAUACGGUGUGACGCCUGCCCGGUGCCGGAAGGUUAAUUGAUGGGGUUAGCGGCAACGCGAAGCUCUUGAUCGAAGCCCCGGUAAACGGCGGCCGUAACUAUAACGGUCCUAAGGUAGCGAAAUUCCUUGUCGGGUAAGUUCCGACCUGCACGAAUGGCGUAAUGAUGGCCAGGCUGUCUCCACCCGAGACUCAGUGAAAUUGAACUCGCUGUGAAGAUGCAGUGUACCCGCGGCAAGACGGAAAGACCCCGUGAACCUUUACUAUAGCUUGACACUGAACACUGGUCCUUGAUGUGUAGGAUAGGUGGGAGGCUUUGAAGCGUGGACGCCAGUCUGCGUGGAGCCGCCCUUGAAAUACCACCCUUUAAUGGCUGGUGUUCUAACGUAGACCCGUGAUCCGGGUUGCGGACAGUGUCUGGUGGGUAGUUUGACUGGGGCGGUCUCCUCCCAAAGAGUAACGGAGGAGCACGAAGGUUGGCUAAUCCUGGUCGGACAUCAGGAGGUUAGUGCAAUGGCAUAAGCCAGCUUGACUGCGAGCGUGACGGCGCGAGCAGGUGCGAAAGCAGGUCAUAGUGAUCCGGUGGUUCUGAAUGGAAGGGCCAUCGCUCAACGGAUAAAAGGUACUCCGGGGAUAACAGGCUGAUACCGCCCAAGAGUUCAUAUCGACGGCGGUGUUUGGCACCUCGAUGUCGGCUCAUCACAUCCUGGGGCUGAAGUAGGUCCCAAGGGUAUGGCUGUUCGCCAUUUAAAGUGGUACGCGAGCUGGGUUUAGAACGUCGUGAGACAGUUCGGUCCCUAUCUGCCGUGGGCGCUGGAGAAUUGAGGGGGGCUGCUCCUAGUACGAGAGGACCGGAGUGGACGCAUCACUGGUGUUCGGGUUGUCAUGCCAAUGGCACUGCCCGGUAGCUAAAUGCGGAAGAGAUAAGUGCUGAAAGCAUCUAAGCACGAAACUUGCCCCGAGAUGAGUUCUCCCUGAGACUUUAAGUCUCCUGAAGGAACGUUGAAGACGACGACGUUGAUAGGUCGGGUGUGUAAGCGCAGCGAUGCGUUGAGCUAACCGAUACUAAUGAACCGUGAGGCUUAACCUU
Molecule: ribosomal RNA, 2905 nt
Filed under: Enterobacter cloacae
Lineage: Bacteria; Pseudomonadati; Pseudomonadota; Gammaproteobacteria; Enterobacterales; Enterobacteriaceae
Also listed under: 2 other names
Description: 23S ribosomal RNA
Rfam family: Bacterial large subunit ribosomal RNA
Source: RNAcentral